RNAcentral lists this long non-coding RNA (4208 nucleotides) under Mytilus galloprovincialis (Mediterranean mussel). Lineage: Eukaryota; Metazoa; Mollusca; Bivalvia; Mytilida; Mytilidae. The record is from RNAcentral.
GGGACUAUCACCAUUCAACUCAGGACCACUUGACCUUUCAAAUAUCACAAGGUCAAGGUCAUAGUAUAAUGUGAAGGUCAAGGUGAAAUUUCAUCAUGACCUGACAUUGACCUCAAAUUGAAGGUCUUGAAUUACUGAUCAUCUUUGCAGUUUGUAGUAGGUUGAUAUAUGUUACCUUUAAAAAGAUAUACACAAAAUACUAUAUUUAUAAGAAUCAUCCCGUUGUAACUUUUGAACAGACGGUCGGACAUUUUUGGGCGAAUUAUAUAAAAUGUAGAGCUCGUCGAGAGGAACAUUUUAUACGCUGUAUGUAGGCAGCAAAGUCUUAUCGUUUUCCUAAUAUGUAAGCUUGAAAUUGCAGCGUCAUUUUUUUUUGCACUCUGUGACCUUUGACCUUUGGGUGCAUAUUGAAGGUCACAUGCAUUAAAGAUUAUUGGUGAAGGUCCCAAGUCUCUACGACUUCCGGUUCUCGAAAUAGAUUUUUUCUAAAAUUGUGUACAAUUUAUCAAGGGAAAUAACUCCUUAUAAGGGUUAAUAACAAAAUAAUUGUAUAUGUUCAUUAACAUUGCUCUCUGUUCCUGUACAUGUUGCCGUUUUCAAAUCGAUUCUAUCUCUAAUACUUUUUAAGAAAAAUGCAAAGGAAAGAAAUCGUUUCAAGGGGAUAUAACUCUCAUAGGGGAAGAUGAAAUCCUAUUCAGCCUCAUAUGGUAAUACAUCAUGAUGAGAUGUACCUAUUGUCCAAAUAAGGUCAUGAUAUCUUUAAAAACAACGAGGGGGGGGGGCUAUGUUGAAAAAAAAUCAAUAAAAGGGAGAUACCUUCAUAAGGGGAUGAUGAAAUCCUUAACAAUGUCAUCUGGUAAUACUUCAUGAUGAGGUCUAUCGAUGGUUACUAUUUGGUAUUCAUAACUUCAAAAUAAACAAGAUGCGGGCAUGUCAAGAAAAUGUUGGAAGAAAAAAAAGAAAAAAAAAAAAAAAAAACAUUAGAAAAACAAUAAGGUCUUUCCUCGCGUAGAGGAAAGACCUUAAAAAUGACAAAACUUACGAUGCCAGGAAUUAUAGUAAACAAAACAGAUGUAAAUAUUAAGUAUACACCUUAUGGUGAUACCCAAACACUUCACUAAAAUUAAUUUGAUUCGUUUAAUUUUCAUAAAAUUUUGACAAAGCAUUUACUUUGACUCUUUGACAAAAACAUAAAAAAAAUAAAAAAAUUGAACCAACCAUUUUAUCAGAAAAAUGCAAUGGUUACAUAGCAGUUUGACAAACAAUAAUUUUGAUCAUUGAGAAGCUAAAUAUUUCCUUAACAACACAACGUGAAUAAAUGUUUAGCUGAUUUUACAGAGUUAUAUCCCUGUAGUGUUAGGUAACACCUUCAUUGACAUAUAAAAGAUAUGAAUCAGAUCAGCAAGAUAUGCAGUAUAAAAUGUUAUUAAAAAAAUACCUAAAAAUUGCUUGACACAUUCGAGACAUGUGAAUAAUAGCAACAACUGUUUGAAGGCAUCACCUUGUAAGAGCCACAUACAUUUUCAAUUUUGUGUUGCUCAUGGUUUAUUUCUAAAUAAUUUCUAAAAGUUACUGGAUAUUGUAUCAGAAAAAUACAGGGGUGGCUUCAUUCCCCCCCUUUCAUGGCAUAAAAAAUAUGCAAGUUUUGCCUUGCUCCUCUUGCAAAAGCUAUUCCAUUAACCUAAAUUCAAGGGUUUGGCCCUGAAUUUAAUAAAUAUUCUUUUAAUUUAUUGUAGCUUUUUUGCUCACUAAUCAGAGAUGACACUUUGAAAAAUUGGUUGUAUUAAUGGACAUAGAAAUAUCGGGCGUCCGUCUGUCCAUCUGUCCUUCCGUUUGUCUGUCAGGUCUUGUUAGCGCUCUCACAUGUGCAAUUCUUGUCAGAUUUUUAUGAACUUAUAUCAUAGGUUUAUAUCAGAAAUGUCUAGGACAAGUUCGAAAAUCAGUGCCGAUCAACUAUUUAAAAAAAAGUUAUGUCCCUUGGAAAUAUUAAUUACAUGGAAAAUUGCAUUGCUAGCACUCUCAUGUGUAUAAUUCUUGCCAUAUUUUUAUGAAUCUUAUAUCAUAGGUUUAUAUCAGAAAUGUCUAAGGCAAGUUCGAAAAUCAGUGCCGAUCAACUAUUUUUAAAAGAGUUAUGUCUCUUGGAAAUAUUAAUUACAUGGAAAAUUGCAUUGCUAGCACUCUCAUGUGUAUAAUUCUUGCCAGAUUUUUAUGAAUCUUAUAUCAUAGAUUUAUAUCAGCAAUGUCUUAGACAAGUUUGAAAAUCUACUAUGUUUAAAAGAGGUAUGCCCCUUGGAAUUAAUUACAUGGAAAGUUGCAUUGUUAGCGCUAUCUUGUAUACAAUUCUUGCCAGAUUUUUAUGAAACUUAUAUUAGCAAUGUCUCAGAUAAGUUCGAUAAUCAGUGCCGAUCAAUUGUUUUUAAAAGAGUUAUGCCUCUUGAAAAUAUCAAUUACAUUGAAAAUUGCACUGAAGCAUUCCAAAGCUUACAUUUCUAUAAGAUAUUUAUAAAACGUUUUAAAGUACAAAAAAAAAAAAAUGUUUUUUAGUUUUUGCCCUUGGACCUAUAAAAAAUGUUGAACGUGGGGGAGACUGGAACUUUUAUUCAUAUUUACCAAAUUUACCCUCAUAUUUUUUUUUUUUGGAAAUGUACAUAUAUAUUGAUUAUUGUUGUUUUGUUUCAGGUGAUACUAACAUUGUUGGAAAUGUCGCAGGAUCACUUUGAUAAACUAAAAAAUCAACAACGAAUUGAGGAAAGUGACAAAGCUGUUAUUUAUUACUCCAGACCUUUUGAUAUCAUUUAUGUUAAUGAUAGAAACACAUUAAUUGACUGCUUUAUGAGAUUAAACAAUAUUGAAUAUAAAUAGACAUGUUUUUAUUUCACCAAAUAAUAUAAAAUUAUACUGUAUAUCUGGAAAUAUUGUGCAACUUAAUCGGUAGUUAUUGUACCCCAAUGUUUUUGUUCAUUGAAAUGGAUUGUACUUGGCCAUGAAAGGAGAAAAAAAUAAAAGCAGUGAUUAUUUAACUUUUCAAAGGCCCAAACUGCAUACAAAAUUUGAUGCAAAAAUAACCUGAUAUACGGUGUAUUGGUACAUGUGCAUUAUCAUUGUGUGUUAGCAUUUACUUGGUGCAAUGCAAUUGAUUACAAAAAUAAGAAAUAUAAUUGAUGCCUAAAAAGCAGCUUAUUCAGACCAUUUUAAUGAUGGACAUACUUUAUUUAGAUAUAAGGUAUAUCCACUUUUUUAGGCAAAAAAAAACAAGAAUUAAUUGUAUGGGGGGGGGGGGGGGAAGGACGACGGACAUUUUUAUUACAAUUUAAUGGGUGGUGGUUAUUUAAGAAAGAUUGCUUGAACGUUUAAUUGAAAUAACCAAUUUAAAAUGUAUGCAUGGUGGGGUCAAAGUCAAACCAGAUUAAACAACAGUAUUUGGUAACCAUAAAGAAAAAUCUUUGAUCAUUUAAAAAAUGUGUGAUUAUACAUUCAUUUGGGGCCACAAGAGGGUGCUACAAAUUUGUGUUUAUUAAGUAAUAUUAUUGCCAACUAUUUCUGAAAGCUUGGUUCACAAUUUUUGAACAAACAGUCCUGCAGACGAAAAUGUCUGCUUUAAUUGCACGGAUGUAGCGGAUAGGCUAAGGUCAACAUUUUUGACUAAAAUGUUAGCUUAGGGAAACUGUCCUUGUGUAUAGACGACUUCUUCUUGGGGCCAUUUUAAAUGACAAUUAAGCACAAACAUGCUUAACAAAACGUAUUCUAACUAUGAAUAAUCUUUGAUUACUAUUUAAUUGUCAGAUGGGCAUUCACAGGAAAAUUAAUUUUAUAUAAAAAGGGUGUUCUAACAGGAAACUGAUUAGUAGAGUAUCCUUUUGGUGUUCGAUGCUCAGUACUACCGAGCAAUACUUGAGUACUCGAGUACUCGUUGACAACCCUAAUAUAUAGAUAGUUUUUUUGCACAUAAUUGAUGUACCAACAUGACAUCAUAUAUCCUGUUCUGGCAUCAAACUUGAACUAUUGACAUUUUAAAACUUUUUGUACCCUUCAGAAUGUAAUAAAAUUUGACAAAAAUAAUAUUUGCAGGUUAAAAGUGCGAGUGUUUUGUAUGAUAAAAUAUUGCCAUGGAGGAUAUGUGCAUCGUUUUGACCUUUCAAAGUCAUUAAUGACCCAAUGAAUAGCCAUAGAAAUGCCGCAAUAUUGCUUCAAGAUGCUGAAUAAGUCAA